RNAcentral lists this long non-coding RNA (364 nucleotides) under Prunus dulcis (almond). Its description in RNAcentral is "sRNA ncRNA". The record is from RNAcentral. Lineage: Eukaryota; Viridiplantae; Streptophyta; Magnoliopsida; Rosales; Rosaceae.
GAACCUCAUAAUCUCAUCAUUUCAAAUGAUAUACAAGUCCCAAAUAAAAAUGUUUCUCAUAUUAAUGAUGAAUAUCCAAGCGAGAAAAUUCCCAUCAACAGUGAUCGAAACAUUUCUCAAGCUGAUAAAAAAAGACAAAAAUGUGUUGAAAGUACAUCAUCUAUCAAUGUGAAUACAGUUGAAACAACACUAGAUGAAAUUCAAUUUCAUCGUUUUAAUCAAAUAAAUAAAGGUCAAGCAAUCUUUCAAAGAAAUAGGCAAGGUGGGUGUUUCCCUUUGCUUCAAAAUUUUCUUCAAAACUUGAACUACAUUGUGCUAUUACUAAUAACCUACAUUUAUGUUUUCUAUUCUCUCCAUUCUAUAC